CCCUCAAGAUGAGAUAUCCCUACCAUAAGGUAAUAAGACCCCUUAGAGAGUAUGAGGUAGAUAGGAAUGGUGUGUAAGAGCGGUAACGCUCUCAGCUGACAUUUACUAAUAGGUCGAAGGCUUAUCCUG
Molecule: ribosomal RNA, 129 nt
Filed under: Lachnospiraceae bacterium
Lineage: Bacteria; Bacillati; Bacillota; Clostridia; Lachnospirales; Lachnospiraceae
Description: partial 23S ribosomal RNA
Rfam family: Bacterial large subunit ribosomal RNA
Source: RNAcentral